This 373-nucleotide ribosomal RNA is filed under the name uncultured Alphaproteobacteria bacterium. RNAcentral's name for it is "bacterial SSU rRNA". It matches the Rfam family "Bacterial small subunit ribosomal RNA", at positions 1 to 404 of the family's 1533-position model. Lineage: Bacteria; Pseudomonadati; Pseudomonadota; Alphaproteobacteria. The record is from RNAcentral.
UAGUGAGUUUGAUCCUGGCUCAGAGCGAACGCUGGCGGCAUGCCUAACACAUGCAUGUCGAACGGGCGUAGCAAUACGUCAGUGGCAGACGGGUGAGUAACACGUGGGAACGUCCCCCUCGGUUCGGAAUAACUCAGGGAAACUUGAGCUAAUACCGUAUACGUCCGUGAGGAGAAAGAUUUAUCGCCUAAGGAUGAGCCCGCGUAGGAUUAGCUUGUUGGUGAGGUAAAAGCUCACCAAGGCGACGAUCCUUAGCUGGUCUGAGAGGAUGAUCAGCCACACUGGAACUGAGACACGGUCCAGACUCCUACGGGAGGCAGCAGUGGGGAAUUUUCCGCAAUGGGGCAAAGCCUGACGGAGCAAGACCGCGUGA